UCUCCAUGCGUAAUUGAUCUAUAAAAAUUCCACAUAUAACAAUUUUCCAGAUAUUUCUUCAUAAAUUCCAUUUCUAGAAGUUUCCAGUGCAUUUCUUCCAAACUCUUGGUUAUUUAUUUCAACGUUCUUCUUUUCUAAAAUGAAAUGACUUGAAUCAAAUUAGUUACAUCCACUUGUAAAGAGAGACGAAGAAAGAAAGAAAGAAAGAAAGAAAACACUACAGAGAUCGCUGGCAUAUACCUAUUUCUAUUCAAUCUCCAGAAAUUUCUAGACACAAUCUCCUGAAAAUUCUGUACACCUUUCAUCUGACAGUCAGAGUGUGCAAUGCCUAGGGGAAUAGACGCAUGCACUCCCUCAGCAGACAAAGAUGACUUGAUAAAUCUGUGGUGUAUGAAAGCCUGCCUUCAGAAUAUCCUGUCCACCAUAAACAGAUAAAAGAGACGCUUAAAUGCUUUGAUGAAGAGAAAAACGAUGAAAUGAGGAAAUUAUUUAACCCUAGAUGAGUAUUCCUGUGCCAGUUGGAAACACACACUUGCGCAUUUUUUUUAUUUUCGCGCGCAGUUUCCACAGAAAUGGGUAUUUUACAACUUUUGUUGGUUAUACCCACAAUGCAACACAUGCGCUCAUAGGGUAAGGGUGUGCGGCAAUGCUCCCAUAGAUUUCUGACUGUGGUUUGAGUCAUGGCCUCAAAACGAACGAGACCAAUUUCUGAGGAUGACAUAUGUCAGAUACUGAAUUCCAGUGUGAUGUCUCUGUCACCAGACAUCACACUGAAAUCAAUCAUUGAUGGCGGGAACCCCUCAGUGAACGUCUAUCGCGAUGUCCCCUCUCUCCCUCCAUCCCGUGGCCGUAAAACUCAACGGUGGCCAGUCUAUCUAUUCUAUGGAAUCCUAAAUAUUGCUGUCAUGAAUGCUUUCAUUGUGUAGACAACUACAAGGGAUCAAAGUGCGACACACUUUUAUGCAUACACUGGGCGGGGAACUGGUGAGGCCAUGGGAUGAGGUGAGGCUUUGUCAGAAGGGCAUGAAAUUGUCAGUCACCUCAUCCAUAAGAUCUUGUCUCAACAUCACCCAUGAUACGUCUAUGGUUCGCGCAGCUGCAUAUGGUCCCCACGACAAAAGGAAGUGCAGUUUCUGCCCUUGGAAGACAGCUAGACAGACGAGGAGUCUGCUCCCAAUGUGAGGCCCGCGUGUCCCAACCAUUCAGAUGUCCUAUGCUUCGAAUGCCAAGAAUAACUAGGAACUCAGUCAUAUUUUUAUUUUAUUUUAUUAUAAAACAUUGCUAACAGUAGUCCAGAAUACUAAUUUUUGUACCACAGUACCAUUUAGAAUCAAUAAAAUAUGAUUUUA
Scylla paramamosain (green mud crab) is the source of this 1349-nucleotide long non-coding RNA. RefSeq lists it as uncharacterized. The transcript is spliced from 2 exons. NCBI's taxonomy places the organism in Eukaryota, Metazoa, Arthropoda, Malacostraca, Decapoda, Portunidae. The record is from RefSeq and is a predicted model, not a curated record.